UACGUAGGGUGCAAGCGUUGUCCGGAAUUAUUGGGCGUAAAGAGCUCGUCGGCGGUCUGUCGCGUCGGCUGUGAAAACCCGGGGCUCAACCCCGGGCCUGCAGUCGAUACGGGCAGACUAGAGUGCGGUAGGGGAGACUGGAAUUCCUGGUGUAGCGGUGAAAUGCGCAGAUAUCAGGAGGAACACCGGUGGCGAAGGCGGGUCUCUGGGCCGUAACUGACGCUGAGGAGCGAAAGCGUGGGGAGCGAACAGG
Molecule: ribosomal RNA, 253 nt
Filed under: uncultured bacterium
Lineage: Bacteria
Description: partial 16S ribosomal RNA
Rfam family: Bacterial small subunit ribosomal RNA
Source: RNAcentral